GAGGGUAUAGCUCAGUGGUGGAGUGUGUGCUUUGCAUGCACAAGGUCCUGGGUUCAAUCCCCAGUGCUUCCA
RNAcentral lists this transfer RNA (72 nucleotides) under Camelus bactrianus (Bactrian camel). It matches the Rfam family "tRNA". Rfam says of the family: Transfer RNA (tRNA) molecules are approximately 80 nucleotides in length. RNAcentral also lists the same sequence under 3 other names. The record is from Rfam by way of RNAcentral. Lineage: Eukaryota; Metazoa; Chordata; Mammalia; Artiodactyla; Camelidae.